GAUGAAGAACGUAGUGAAAUGCGAUAAGUAAUGUGAAUUGCAAAAUUCAGUGAAUCAUCGAAUCUUUGAACGCACAUUGCGCCCCUUGGUAUUCCGAGGGGCAUGCCUGUUCGAGCGUCAUUAUAACCCCUCAAGCUCAGCUUGGUGUUGGGGCCUGCCGCACGGGCAGCCCUUAAAAUCAGUGGCGGUGCCAUCUGGCUCUAAGCGUAGUAAUUCUUCUCGCUAUAGAGUCCCGGUGGAUGCUUGCCAUUAACCCCCAAUUUUCUAUGGUUGACCUCGGAUCAGGUAGGGAUACCCGCUGAACUUAAGCAUAUCAAUAAGCGGAGGA
RNAcentral lists this unclassified non-coding RNA (328 nucleotides) under soil metagenome. RNAcentral describes it as "partial contains 5.8S ribosomal RNA, internal transcribed spacer 2, and large subunit ribosomal RNA". The stretch from base 1 to 120 matches the Rfam family "5.8S ribosomal RNA", at positions 35 to 154 of the family's 154-position model. The record is from RNAcentral.